Molecule: ribosomal RNA, 138 nt
Filed under: uncultured eukaryote
Lineage: Eukaryota
Description: partial 18S ribosomal RNA
Rfam family: Eukaryotic small subunit ribosomal RNA
Source: RNAcentral
UGGUGGGUUGCCUUGUCAGGUUGAUUCCGGUAACGAACGAGACCUCAGCCUGCUAAAUAGUCAGCAUCGCACCUGCGGUGUGCAGACUUCUUAGAGGGACUAUUGGCGUUCAGCCAAUGGAAGUAUGAGGCGAUAACA